CUUUCUUUUUUCUCGUUCUUGCAAUUCCAGUUCUGAAUUGCCCUGAAGGCGCAAAGUGCAAAACCAUAUACGCUGACAAUGGUGUUGAGUUGGAUGCUAGAGGAAAAUGCAUGGUAGCUUUCCACUCUCUGGCUUUGCUAUCAAUGCUGGGUGCGACCAUUGUCUUUGGAAUGGCAAUCUGCAUGGACAACCUCAGAAAAAACAAAGCGGUUUUGAUAGUCGGAAUCAGCUUGGCUUCG
Long non-coding RNA from Symsagittifera roscoffensis, 239 nucleotides. RefSeq lists it as uncharacterized. The transcript is spliced from 3 exons. The record is from RefSeq and is a predicted model, not a curated record. Lineage: Eukaryota; Metazoa; Xenacoelomorpha; Acoela; Convolutidae.